UGGGGGAUAUUGCACAAUGGGGGAAACCCUGAUGCAGCGACGCCGCGUGGAGGAAGAAGGUUUUCGGAUUGUAAACUCCUGUCGUUAGGGACGAUAAUGACGGUACCUAACAAGAAAGCACCGGCUAACUACGUGCCAGCAGCCGCGGUAAAACGUAGGUCACAAGCGUUGUCCGGAAUUACUGGGUGUAAAGGGAGCGCAGGCGGGAGAACAAGUUGGAAGUGAAAUCCAUGGGCUCAACCCAUGAACUGCUUUCAAAACUGUUUUUCUUGAGUAGUGCAGAGGUAGGCGGAAUUCCCGGUGUAGCGGUGGAAUGCGUAGAUAUCGGGAGGAACACCAGUGGCGAAGGCGGCCUACUGGGCACCAACUGACGCUGAGGCUCGAAAGUGUGGGUAGCAAACAGGAUUAGAUACCCUGGUAGUCCACACCGUAAACGAUGAUUACUAGGUGUUGGAGGAUUGACCCCUUCAGUGCCGCAGUUAACACAAUAAGUAAUCCACCUGGGGAGUACGACCGCAAGGUUGAAACUCAAAGGAAUUGACGGGGGCCCGCACAAGCAGUGGAGUAUGUGGUUUAAUUCGACGCAACGCGAAGAACCUUACCAAGUCUUGACAUCCCUUGACGAUGCUGGAAACAGCAUUUCUCUUCGGAGCAAGGAGACAGGUGGUGCAUGGUUGUCGUCAGCUCGUGUCGUGAGAUGUUGGGUUAAGUCUCGCAACGAGCGCAACCCUUAUGGUCAGUUACUACGCAAGAGGACUCUGGCCAGACUGCCGUUGACAAAACGGAGGAAGGUGGGGAUGACGUCAAAUCAUCAUGCCCUUUAUGACUUGGGCUACACACGUACUACAAUGGCGUUAAACAAAGAGAAGCAAGACCGCGAGGUGGAGCAAAACUCAGAAACAACGUCCCAGUUCGGACUGCAGGCUGCAACUCGCCUGCACGAAGUCGGAAUUGCUAGUAAUCGUGGAUCAGCAUGCCACGGUGAAUACGUUCCC
This 995-nucleotide ribosomal RNA is filed under the name uncultured bacterium. RNAcentral describes it as "bacterial SSU rRNA". It matches the Rfam family "Bacterial small subunit ribosomal RNA", at positions 355 to 1375 of the family's 1533-position model. The record is from RNAcentral.